UCUAAUGCGACACGGAAAAAGUAACUUAUCAGUGGAGAUGGAAAAGGUGCAUGGUGGGAUCAUCAUUCAGCUGGACGUGUGUCUGGUCUCUCCUUUGACCACAUCCUGUGGUCAGACUGGGAGGAAUGAAGUCCAGAUGGGAACAAGUCGGAUUCUUUUCAAUUAUAAAGUUCACCAGAUGUGAAAGUGAAGCUGCUGUGACCAGUUUAGUAUUUUACAGAAAAACGUGAAACCACAGGAUCAGCACCAGCACCGGCACCAGCACCAGCAUCAGCACCGGCAUCGUCACCGUCAUCAGCACCAGCACCAGCAUCAGCACCAGCACCGGCACCAGCACCAGCACCGGCAUCGGCACCAGCACCGGCACCAGCACCAGCAUCAGCACCAGCACCGGCACCAGCACCAGCACCGGCAUCGGCACCAGCACGGCCUGGUGUCCGGCCUGCAGGGCUCUGGUCGAGGCUCAGCAUGAAUGAGUGUUCUUCUGACACGCAGCCACAGGAAACAGAGAUGUCUGCAGAAAAUCCAGCUGCAGCCACGAAAGCCUAAAAAAGGCCACACGUCCAGGAGAGUCCAAGAAACGAGACACUGGGAGGUUCUGCACCCCAUUGUUUUCCAUAGUGAUGCGUUUAAUGCCCUGCACAGAGCGUGGGCACCGGCAGCGCAGCGUCACUGAACGAGGAUCUGCAGGAACUGCAUGUUUGACAGGAUGCGGAGGAUGCGGCUUCCUGCCCGUGCCCCCUCGCCCUCACUGCACCUCGUUAAACAGCAGACGCGCUGCUUCCUGGAGGUCACGUGCAGACUUUAAUAUAAGAUGACAGAAUCAGCGGCUCCUCCUGCUGCACAGGUGGAGCUGGGAAUUGAACGGGUGACCCCCUCAGACCUGGCAACACAGAGGUGUGUGGCUCUGCAGCCGAAAUGAGGCCCCUCGGCCUGUAGGUGGCACAUGAACACACUAGUUCAGGCCAGGCACGAGCCCCCUCUCCUCGCUCGCUCUCGUGAGUGCGCGCGCGCCGACCGCUGCCGUUACAUAACGUGCUCUGCCGCUGCGCCGCCGCUGUGAUCCGCCCAUCACAUCAGCUGCUACAGACAAACCCUGUGAACUUGCAGAGGUUUUCAAAUUCGGUGCAGGACGUUUUGUUCUUUCUCAGAUUAUGCUGCCAUUUUCCAGUUUAUUAAGAAAAGUUCUGUCCUCAGGCAGAAAAUGUCACACUAAUAUUAUACUGUGGUCUGUGUAACAAGGCUGCGACUGUGCGUUUUACGGAAUAAAAGACUAAAUAAUACGGAAUAAAAAAUGAAU
RNAcentral lists this long non-coding RNA (1300 nucleotides) under Betta splendens (Siamese fighting fish). RNAcentral describes it as "lncRNA (ENSBSLG00000008285.1)". Lineage: Eukaryota; Metazoa; Chordata; Actinopteri; Anabantiformes; Osphronemidae. The record is from RNAcentral.